This 334-nucleotide long non-coding RNA is filed under the name Salmo salar (Atlantic salmon). Its description in RNAcentral is "lncRNA (ENSSSAG00000113828.1, ENSSSAG00075015151.1)". Lineage: Eukaryota; Metazoa; Chordata; Actinopteri; Salmoniformes; Salmonidae. The record is from RNAcentral.
GAAAAUCAGUCAGUCAGUCAAACAGAGUGUCGCUUACUCCUAAUCACACAUCUAAAACGCACUUUGUGGAAGUUACCUGUGGAGCUGAUGUUUAGGCCAAGGGAGACACCUCCCUCUUGGGCUAGCACCUCACCAGGCACCACGUCUGUCUGCUAGUCCAGAUCGCCCGCUGGUCCGACGACCGCCUCCUCUGGCCUGUGGUGGUUCUGACUGGGCUAGACCACUACUGGACCACCAACAACCUGGGUCAUGUUCCCGGUCCGACUGAGACCACUUUUCUCUGGGGUGAAGUUAGAGAUCUAGGAUCAGCUUCCCGGGCUCCCCCAAUCCUGAC